AGCCCAGACCGACAGCUAAGGUCCCAAAGUGUGUGUUAAGUGGAAAAGGAUGUUAGGUUUCUAAGACAACUAGGAUGUUGGCUCAGAAGCAGCCACUCAUUUAAAGAGUGCGUAACAGCUCACUAGUCGAGAGGUCUAGCGCCGAAAAUGUCCGGGGCUAAAACACACCACCGAAGCUACGGAAUUACCUAUGGUAAUUGGUAGAGGAGCAUUCUGUAAGGAUGAAGCACAAUUGAAAGAGAGUGUGGACGAAACAGAAGAGAGAAUGCCGGAAUGAGUAGCGAGAUAUAUGUGAGAAUCAUAUAGGUCGAAUGUCUAAGGUUUCCUGGGUAAAGCUGAUCUGCUCAGGGUAAGUCGGGACCUAAGGUGAGGGCGAGAGCCGUAAUCGAUGGACAACAGGUAGAAAUUCCUGUACUACGUAUAAUCAGAACUGUGGGGACGCAGGAGGAUAGGAAAACCGGAGAAUGGAAAAAUCCGGCUAAGUACAAAGGUGUGAGUGAUAGGCAAAUCCGUCACUAUUAGCUGAAGUACGAAUGGGAGCGAAGAAAAGUAGCGAAGUUUCUGAAUCCACACUGUCAAGAAAAGCCGCUAUUGCGUUAUACGUACCCGUACCGCAAACCGACACAGGUAGACGAGGAGAAAAUCCACAGACCGACGGGAGAAGUGUUGUUAAGGAACUCGGCAAAAUGACCCCGUAACUUAGGGAUAAGGGGAGCCAACGCAAGUUGGUCACAGAAAAGAGGCUCAAGCGACUGUUUAGCAAAAACAUAGGUCUAUGCGAAACCGUAAGGUGAUGUAUAUGGGCUGACACCUGCCCGGUGCUGGAAGGUCAAAAGGAGAGGUUAGCGUAAGCGAAGCUUUGAAUUCAAGCCCCAGUAAACGGCGGCCGUAACUAUAACGGUCCUAAGGUAGCGAAAUUCCUUGUCAGGUAAGUUCUGACCCGCACGAAAGGUGUAACGAUUUGAGCACUGUCUCGACAACACGCCCGGUGAAAUUGAAGAACCAGUGAAGAUACUGGUUACCCGCAACAGGACGGAAAGACCCCAUGGAGCUUUACUGCAGCUUAAUAUUGGGAUUCGGUAUUGUAUGUACAGGAUAGGAGGGAGACUAAGAAGCUAGCACGCCAGUGUUGGUGGAGUCGAUGGUGGGAUACCUCUCUUAUAAUACUGAAUUUCUAACCUACUUCCGUGAUCCGGAAGAGGGACAUUGUUAGGCGGGCAGUUUGACUGGGGCGGUCGCCUCCGAAAGAGUAACGGAGGCGCUCAAAGGUCUUCUCAGAAUGAUUGGAAACCAUUCAAAGAGUGUAAAGGCAAAAGAAGGCUUGACUGCGAGAGUGACAACUCGAGCAGGUACGAAAGUAGGACUUAGUGAUCCGGUGGUAACAAGUGGGAGUGCCAUCGCUUAACGGAUAAAAGCUACCCUGGGGAUAACAGGCUUAUCUCCCCCAAGAGUUCACAUCGACGGGGAGGUUUGGCACCUCGAUGUCGGCUCAUCGCAUCCUGGGGCUGUAGUAGGUCCCAAGGGUUGGGCUGUUCGCCCAUUAAAGCGGUACGCGAGCUGGGUUCAGAACGUCGUGAGACAGUUCGGUCCCUAUCCGUUGUGGGCGUAGGAAAUUUGAUAGGAGCUGUCCUUAGUACGAGAGGACCGGGAUGGACGAACCUCUGGUGAAUCUGUUGGUAACCAAUGCCACAGCAGAAUAGCCAAGUUUGGAACGGAUAAACGCUGAAGGCAUCUAAGCGUGAAGCCAACCUAAAGACUAGAUUUCCCAUGCGAAAGCAGUAAGACUCCUUGU
This 1792-nucleotide ribosomal RNA is filed under the name human gut metagenome. Its description in RNAcentral is "bacterial LSU rRNA". It matches the Rfam family "Bacterial large subunit ribosomal RNA", at positions 1024 to 2841 of the family's 2925-position model. The record is from RNAcentral.